RNAcentral lists this ribosomal RNA (257 nucleotides) under uncultured bacterium. Its description in RNAcentral is "partial 16S ribosomal RNA". It matches the Rfam family "Bacterial small subunit ribosomal RNA", at positions 335 to 605 of the family's 1533-position model. The record is from RNAcentral.
ACUCCUACGGGAGGCAGCAGUGGGAAUAUUGCGCAAUGGGCGGAAGCCUGACGCAGCGACGCCGCGUGGGGGAUGACGGCCUUCGGGUUGUAAACCUCUUUCGCCAGGGACGAAGCUUUGGUGACGGUACCUGGAGAAGAAGCACCGGCCAACUACGUGCCAGCAGCCGCGGUAACACGUAGGGUGCGAGCGUUGUCCGGAAUUAUUGGGCGUAAAGAGCUCGUAGGCGGUUUGUUAAGCGAGAUGUGAAAGCCCGC